UAAGGAAUAUUGCUCAAUGGGAGAAAUCCUGAAGCAGCAACGCCGCGUGGAGGAUGAAGGGUCUAUGACUUGUAAACUCCUGUAAAGAAGGAAAAAAUUCCCAUUUGAUGGGAGAUGAUGGUACUUCUGGAGUAAGCCCCGGCUAACUACGUGCCAGCAGCCGCGGUAAUACGUAGGGGGCAAGCGUUGUCCGGAUUUACUGGGUGUAAAGGGUGCUCAGGCGGAUUUGUAAGUCAGAGGUGAAAUCUCACAGCUUAACUGUGAAACUGCCUUUGAUACUGCAAGCCUAGAGUAUGGAAGAGAGUGAUGGAAUAUCUGGUGUAGCAGUGAAAUGCGUAGAUAUCAGAUAGAACACCAAUGGCGAAGGCAGUCACUUGGUCCAUUACUGACGCUAAAGCACGAAAGCGUGGGUAGCAAACA
Molecule: ribosomal RNA, 420 nt
Filed under: uncultured bacterium
Lineage: Bacteria
Description: bacterial SSU rRNA
Rfam family: Bacterial small subunit ribosomal RNA
Source: RNAcentral